GAUGAACGCUAGCGGCAGGCCUAAUACAUGCAAGUCGAACGGGAUUGCGGUAGUAGCUUGCUACUACUGCGUGAGAGUGGCGCACGGGUGCGUAACGUGUCAUCAACCUACCCAUAUCAGGAGGAUAGCCCGGCGAAACUCGUAUUAACUCCGCAUACCAUCAACAGUUCGCAUGUUGAGUUGAUUAAAUAUUUAUAGGAUAUGUAGCGGCUCGCGUGACAUUAGCUAGUUGGUUGGGUAACGGCUUACCAAGGAAACGAUGUCUAGGGGAUCUGAGAGGAGAAGCCCCGAGACUGGGACUGGGAACAGGACCACACUGAUACGGGAGGCAGUAGUAAGGAAGAUAGGUCUAUGGGAGCAAGCCUGAUCCAGCCAUGCCGCGUGCAGGAGGACUGCGCGAUGGAUUGUGAACUGCGUGUAGCAGGGAACAAUCGCCUUUACCAGUAGAGGGUUGAAGGUAACUGAAGAAUAAGCAUCGGCUAACUCCGUG
Molecule: ribosomal RNA, 490 nt
Filed under: uncultured bacterium
Lineage: Bacteria
Description: partial 16S ribosomal RNA
Rfam family: Bacterial small subunit ribosomal RNA
Source: RNAcentral